Molecule: ribosomal RNA, 522 nt
Filed under: uncultured bacterium
Lineage: Bacteria
Description: bacterial SSU rRNA
Rfam family: Bacterial small subunit ribosomal RNA
Source: RNAcentral
AAUGGGGGGAACCCUGAUCCAGCCAUGCCGCGUGUGUGAAGAAGGCCUUAUGGUUGUAAAGCACUUUAAGCGAGGAGGAGGCUACUUUAGUUAAUACCUAGAGAUAGUGGACGUUACUCGCAGAAUAAGCACCGGCUAACUCUGUGCCAGCAGCCGCGGUAAUACAGAGGGUGCGAGCGUUAAUCGGAUUUACUGGGCGUAAAGCGUGCGUAGGCGGCUUAUUAAGUCGGAUGUGAAAUCCCCGAGCUUAACUUGGGAAUUGCAUUCGAUACUGGUGAGCUAGAGUAUGGGAGAGGAUGGUAGAAUUCCAGGUGUAGCGGUGAAAUGCGUAGAGAUCUGGAGGAAUACCGAUGGCGAAGGCAGCCAUCUGGCCUAAUACUGACGCUGAGGUACGAAAGCAUGGGGAGCAAACAGGAUUAGAUACCCUGGUAGUCCAUGCCGUAAACGAUGUCUACUAGCCGUUGGGGCCUUUGAGGCUUUAGUGGCGCAGCUAACGCGAUAAGUAGACCGCCUGGGGAGUAC